Molecule: ribosomal RNA, 1018 nt
Filed under: Escherichia coli
Lineage: Bacteria; Pseudomonadati; Pseudomonadota; Gammaproteobacteria; Enterobacterales; Enterobacteriaceae
Description: partial 23S ribosomal RNA
Rfam family: Bacterial large subunit ribosomal RNA
Source: RNAcentral
AGUGUGAUUCGUCACACUAUCAUUAACUGAAUCCAUAGGUUAAUGAGGCGAACCGGGGGAACUGAAACAUCUAAGUACCCCGAGGAAAAGAAAUCAACCGAGAUUCCCCCAGUAGCGGCGAGCGAACGGGGAGGAGCCCAGAGCCUGAAUCAGUGUGUGUGUUAGUGGAAGCGUCUGGAAAGGCGCGCGAUACAGGGUGACAGCCCCGUACACAAAAAUGCACAUGCUGUGAGCUCGAUGAGUAGGGCGGGACACGUGGUAUCCUGUCUGAAUAUGGGGGGACCAUCCUCCAAGGCUAAAUACUCCUGACUGACCGAUAGUGAACCAGUACCGUGAGGGAAAGGCGAAAAGAACCCCGGCGAGGGGAGUGAAAAAGAACCUGAAACCGUGUACGUACAAGCAGUGGGAGCCUCUUUAUGGGGUGACUGCGUACCUUUUGUAUAAUGGGUCAGCGACUUAUAUUCUGUAGCAAGGUUAACCGAAUAGGGGAGCCGAAGGGAAACCGAGUCUUAACUGGGCGUUAAGUUGCAGGGUAUAGACCCGAAACCCGGUGAUCUAGCCAUGGGCAGGUUGAAGGUUGGGUAACACUAACUGGAGGACCGAACCGACUAAUGUUGAAAAAUUAGCGGAUGACUUGUGGCUGGGGGUGAAAGGCCAAUCAAACCGGGAGAUAGCUGGUUCUCCCCGAAAGCUAUUUAGGUAGCGCCUCGUGAAUUCAUCUCCGGGGGUAGAGCACUGUUUCGGCAAGGGGGUCAUCCCGACUUACCAACCCGAUGCAAACUGCGAAUACCGGAGAAUGUUAUCACGGGAGACACACGGCGGGUGCUAACGUCCGUCGUGAAGAGGGAAACAACCCAGACCGCCAGCUAAGGUCCCAAAGUCAUGGUUAAGUGGGAAACGAUGUGGGAAGGCCCAGACAGCCAGGAUGUUGGCUUAGAAGCAGCCAUCAUUUAAAGAAAGCGUAAUAGCUCACUGGUCGAGUCGGCCUGCGCGGAAGAUGUAACGGGGCUAAACCAUG